This 133-nucleotide ribosomal RNA is filed under the name uncultured eukaryote. Its description in RNAcentral is "partial 18S ribosomal RNA". It matches the Rfam family "Eukaryotic small subunit ribosomal RNA", at positions 1518 to 1651 of the family's 1831-position model. The record is from RNAcentral.
AGUAUCAUCCUGUGCCGAGAGGUUCGGGAAAUCUUAUGAAUUAUCGUCAUGUCAGGGAUUGGGGUUUGUAAUUAUCCCCCAUGAACGAGGAAUUCCCAGUAAGCACAAGUCAUAAGCUUGUGCUGAUUACGUC